This 298-nucleotide signal recognition particle RNA is filed under the name Aotus nancymaae (Ma's night monkey). Its description in RNAcentral is "Metazoan signal recognition particle RNA (ENSANAG00000009475.1)". It matches the Rfam family "Metazoan signal recognition particle RNA". Rfam says of the family: The signal recognition particle (SRP) is a universally conserved ribonucleoprotein. The record is from RNAcentral. Lineage: Eukaryota; Metazoa; Chordata; Mammalia; Primates; Aotidae.
GUCAGGCGCAUGGCUCAUGUCUGUAGUCCCAGCUACUUGGGAGGCUGAGGUGGGAGGAUCGCCUGAGCCCAGGACUUCUGGGCUGUAGUGCGCUAUGCCGAUCGGGUGUCUGCACUAAGUCUGGCAUCAAUAUGGUGACCUCCCGGGAGCCGGGGACCACCAGGUUGCCUAAGGCGGGGUGAACUGGCCCAGGUUGGAAAUGGAGCAGGUCAAAACUCCCGUGCUGAUCAGUAGUGGGAUCAAGCCUGUGAAUAGCCACUGCACUCCAGCCUGGGUAACAUAGCGAGACCCCAUCUCU